UGAUGAUGUCACAAGGGUAGAAUUAGCACCUACUAAUAUGAAUAGGCACAGAGAAGAAAUGAAUAAUGGGUUUGGGGACUGAAUUAGACACAAAUUACUAGGAAUUUUUUGGACAGGAAAAAUACUUGAAAGGGCAAAUCCUACACCAGACUCAAGGAGGCUUCACCAGAUACCCCAGAACUUACUGAAAGCAGGAACAUGCUGUCCUGUGCACCUUUUCUUGCUGAGUGUUUUUGCAGAGGUGCAAGGCUUGCCACUCCAUCUUUUGGCAGCUCUUUGAGAUCAGAAAGUAGGAUGCUCCUGUGCAGGCAAGACAACAUGAUUGCCAUUUGUGAGAAGAGCAGACACCUCUCUGUUUCCUUGCUGGAACUGUCCUCACAUGGAAUAACAACCCCAGCACUCCCAGUUACAAGCCUGUUCCAAGAGAACUGCACCAUUACAUCUCAAGCAGCUCCUCCAGCUCACUUUCCCUCCUCCUCAGGAGAAAGGCGUGAGGAGGUCAUCUGCAAUUGAAUGUGGAACUGGGAAAGGCUAGAUGGUGUUCCUAAAGAGGACUGGUGAACCAUUCUUGUUGCUAUCUGGGACGGGAUUUGACAGCUUACAUCAGGAAUGGGUGUGAAGUUGCCCAGAUGUGUCUGCUGAGGGAACCAUUUUCCUGGUGAUGACAGAAGUUUGGCAAGGUGCCGGAUACAAAUCUGA
Molecule: long non-coding RNA, 699 nt
Organism: Gallus gallus (chicken)
Lineage: Eukaryota; Metazoa; Chordata; Aves; Galliformes; Phasianidae
Exons: 5
Source: RefSeq, a predicted model, not a curated record